RNAcentral lists this ribosomal RNA (258 nucleotides) under uncultured bacterium. RNAcentral describes it as "partial 16S ribosomal RNA". It matches the Rfam family "Bacterial small subunit ribosomal RNA", at positions 96 to 354 of the family's 1533-position model. The record is from RNAcentral.
CGGCGGACGGGUGAGUAACGCGUGGGUAACCUGCCUCAUACAGGGGGAUAACAGUUAGAAAUGACUGCUAAUACCGCAUAAGCGCACAGGACCGCAUGGUCCGGUGUGAAAAACUCCGGUGGUAUGAGAUGGACCCGCGUCUGAUUAGCUGGUUGGCGGGGUAACGGCCCACCGAGGCGACGAUCAGUAGCCGACCUGAGAGGGUGGCCGGCCACAUUGGGACUGAGACACGGCCCAAACUCCUACGGAAGGCAGCAG